RNAcentral lists this ribosomal RNA (2130 nucleotides) under soil metagenome. RNAcentral's name for it is "bacterial LSU rRNA". It matches the Rfam family "Bacterial large subunit ribosomal RNA", at positions 14 to 2261 of the family's 2925-position model. The record is from RNAcentral.
AGGGCAAUUGGUGGAUGCCUUGGCAUACACAGGCGAUGAAGGACGUGGCACGCUGCGAUAAGCUGCGGUGAGGUGUGAGCAACCUUUGACCCGCAGAUUUCCGAAUGGGGAAACCCAUCCUCACUAUUUACUCUCAGCCGAGUUCAACUCGGUUGGGGAUAAAUAGGAAGGAUAUCACUUUGCUGAAUAAAAUAGGCUUAGUGAAGCGAACCCGGGGAACUGAAACAUCUCAGUACCCGGAGGAAAAGACAUCAACCGAGAUUCCGUUAGUAGUGGCGAGCGAAAGCGGACCAGGCCAGUGCCUGGUGUUUAGCUAGGAGAAGCUUCUGGAAAGGAGCGCCAUAGAGGGUGACAGCCCCGUAUUUGAAAGCGAGACAUCAGGACUUGAGUAGGGCGGGACACGUGUAAUCCUGUCUGAACAUGGGGGGACCACCCUCCAAGCCUAAGUACUCCUCAGUGACCGAUAGUGAACAAGUACCGUGAGGGAAAGGUGAAAAGCACCCCGAUGAGGGGAGUGAAACAGUACCUGAAACCGGUUGCCUACAAGCAGUGGGAGCUCCCUUGAGGAGUGACCGCGUACCUCUUGCAUAAUGGGUCAGUGACUUAAUGUAUCAAGCAAGCUUAAGCCGAUAGGUGUAGGCGCAGCGAAAGCGAGUCUGAAUAGGGCGACUGAGUUUGAUGCAUUAGACCCGAAACCCGGCGAUCUAGGCAUGACCAGAGUGAAGGUGGGGUAACACCCACUGGAGGCUCGAACCGAUUAACGUUGAAAAGUUACCGGAUGAGUUGUGUUUAGGGGUGAAAGGCCAAUCAAGCCGGGAAAUAGCUGGUUCUCCGCGAAAACUAUUGAGGUAGUGCCUCGGAUGUUUUCCUGUGGGGGUAGAGCACUGGAUGGGCUAGGGGGCCGCGAGGUCUACCAAACCUAACCAAACUCCGAAUACCAUCGAGUGAUAUCCGGGAGACAGACGGCGGGUGCUAAGGUCCGUCGUCAAAAGGGAAACAGCCCUAACCUACAGCUAAGGUCCCCAAGUCAUCACUAAGUGGGAAAGCAUGUGGGAAUCCCAAAACAACCAGGAGGUUGGCUUAGAAGCAGCCAUCCUUUAAAGAAAGCGUAACAGCUCACUGGUCUAAUUAAGGGUUCCUGCGGCGAAGAUGUAACGGGGCUAAAGUGAUGCACCGAAGCUUAGGGUGUGAUCUUUGAUCACGCGGUAGCGGAGCGUUCCGUAGGCCGAUGAAGCGGAAGGGUAACCGACCGUGGAGGUAUCGGAAGUGCGAAUGCUGACAUGAGUAGCGAUAAACAGGGUGAGAUGCCCUGUCGCCGAAAGACCAAGGGUUCCUGCGCAAGGCUAAUCCGCGCAGGGUGAGCCGGCCCCUAAGACGAGCCCGAAGGGGGUAGUCGAUGGGAAGCAGGUUAAUAUUCCUGCACCUGGAGGUGUGUGACGGAUCUCGUAAGUUGUCGUCCCUUAUCGGAUUGGGGCGGCUUCGAAGAGGUUCCAGGAAAUAGCCCCUCCGUAUAGACCGUACCCGAAACCGACACAGGUGGGCAGGUAGAGUAUACCAAGGCGCUUGAGAGAAGGGUGUUGAAGGAACUCGGCAAAUUGCCUCCGUACCUUCGGAAGAAGGAGGCCCUCAUUCCGGGCAACCGGUUUGAGGGGGCACAGGCCAGGGGGUAGCGACUGUUUAACAAAAACACAGGGCUCUGCUAAGUCGGCUUCAAGACGACGUAUAGGGUCUGACGCCUGCCCGGUGCCGGAAGGUUAAGAGGAGGAGUGCAAGCUCCGAAUUGAAGCCCCGGUAAACGGCGGCCGUAACUAUAACGGUCCUAAGGUAGCGAAAUUCCUUGUCGGGUAAGUUCCGACCUGCACGAAUGGCGUAACGACUUCCCCACUGUCUCCAACACCUGCUCAGCGAAAUUGAAUUCUCCGUGAAGAUGCGGAGUACCCGCGGUUAGACGGAAAGACCCCGUGCACCUUUACUACAACUUUGCAGUGGGUGCAGGGCUCGUUUGUGUAGGAUAGGCGGGAGGCUAGGAACGGCGGGCGCCAGUCCGCCCGGAGCCGGCCUUGAAAUACCGCCCUUACGGGUUCUGCACUCUAACCGAGGCCCGUAACCCGGGUCCGGGACCCUGCAUGG